This 534-nucleotide ribosomal RNA is filed under the name uncultured bacterium. RNAcentral's name for it is "bacterial SSU rRNA". It matches the Rfam family "Bacterial small subunit ribosomal RNA", at positions 44 to 566 of the family's 1533-position model. The record is from RNAcentral.
AGGCCUAACACAUGCAAGUCGAACGGCAGCACAGGAGAGCUUGCUCUCUGGGUGGCGAGUGGCGGACGGGUGAGGAAUACAUCGGAAUCUACUUUUUCGUGGGGGAUAACGUAGGAAACUUACGCUAAUACCGCAUACGACCUACGGGUGAAAGCAGGGGAUCUUCGGACCUUGCGCGAUUGAAUGAGCCGAUGUCGGAUUAGCUAGUUGGCGGGGUAAAGGCCCACCAAGGCGACGAUCCGUAGCUGGUCUGAGAGGAUGAUCAGCCACACUGGAACUGAGACACGGUCCAGACUCCUACGGGAGGCAGCAGUGGGGAAUAUUGGACAAUGGGCGCAAGCCUGAUCCAGCCAUACCGCGUGGGUGAAGAAGGCCUUCGGGUUGUAAAGCCCUUUUGUUGGGAAAGAAAUCCAGCUGGCUAAUACCCGGUUGGGAUGACGGUACCCAAAGAAUAAGCACCGGCUAACUUCGUGCCAGCAGCCGCGGUAAUACGAAAGGGUGCAAGCGUUACUCGGAAUUACUGGGCCGUAAAGC